RNAcentral lists this non-coding RNA (161 nucleotides) under Solanum tuberosum (potato). RNAcentral's name for it is "rRNA SSU_rRNA_eukarya". It matches the Rfam family "Eukaryotic small subunit ribosomal RNA", at positions 1667 to 1823 of the family's 1831-position model. The record is from Rfam by way of RNAcentral. Lineage: Eukaryota; Viridiplantae; Streptophyta; Magnoliopsida; Solanales; Solanaceae.
CACCACUCGUCACUACUACCGAUUAAAUGAUACGGUAAAAUGUUCGGAUCGCAGUGACGUGGGUGGGUCGCUGCCCGCGACGUCACGAGAAGUCCAUUUAACCUUAUCAUUUAGAAGAAAGAGAAGUCGUAACAAGGUUUCCGUAGGUGAACUUGCGGAAG